RNAcentral lists this ribosomal RNA (433 nucleotides) under uncultured bacterium. RNAcentral's name for it is "partial 16S ribosomal RNA". It matches the Rfam family "Bacterial small subunit ribosomal RNA", at positions 29 to 507 of the family's 1533-position model. The record is from RNAcentral.
AACGAACGCUGGCGGCAGGCCUAACACAUGCAAGUCGAGCGGACCCUUCGGGGUUAGCGGCGGACGGGUGAGUAACGCGUGGGAAUAUGCCCUUCUCUACGGAAUAGUCCUGGGAAACUGGGGGUAAUACCGUAUACGCCCUUUGGGGGAAAGAUUUAUCGGGGAAGGAUUAGCCCGCGUUGGAUUAGGUAGUUGGUGGGGUAAUGGCCUACCAAGCCGACGAUCCAUAGCUGGUUUGAGAGGAUGAUCAGCCACACUGGGACUGAGACACGGCCCAGACUCCUACGGGAGGCAGCAGUGGGGAAUCUUAGACAAUGGGGGCAAGCCUGAUCUAGCCAUGCCGCGUGAGUGAUGAAGGCCUUAGGGUUGUAAAGCUCUUUCAGCUGGGAAGAUAAUGACGGUACCAGCAGAAGAAGCCCCGGCUAACUCCGUG